This 253-nucleotide ribosomal RNA is filed under the name uncultured bacterium. Its description in RNAcentral is "partial 16S ribosomal RNA". It matches the Rfam family "Bacterial small subunit ribosomal RNA", at positions 524 to 776 of the family's 1533-position model. The record is from RNAcentral.
UACAGAGGGUGCGAGCGUUAAUCGGAAUUACUGGGCGUAAAGCGUGCGUAGACGGUAGCGUAAGUCAGAUGUGAAAGCCCCGGGCUCAACCUGGGAAUUGCAUUUGAGACUGCUCUGCUCGGGUGCGGAAGAGGGAAGCGGAAUUUCCGGUGUAGCGGUGAAAUGCGUAGAUAUCGGAAGGAACACCAGUGGCGAAAGCGGCUUCCUGGUCCGACACCGACGUUCAGGCACGAAAGCGUGGGGAGCAAGCAGG